This 1389-nucleotide long non-coding RNA is filed under the name Zonotrichia albicollis (white-throated sparrow). RNAcentral describes it as "lncRNA (ENSZALG00000000941.1)". Lineage: Eukaryota; Metazoa; Chordata; Aves; Passeriformes; Passerellidae. The record is from RNAcentral.
CCAGGUGUCCCCAGGUGUGUCCCUGUUCCCCCAGGUGUGUUCCCUGUUCCCCCAGGUGUCCCCCAGGUGUCCCCAGGUAUCCCCAGGUGUGUCCCCAGGUGUCCCCCAGGUGUACCCAGGUGUCCCCCAGGUGUCCCCCAGGUAUCCCCAGGUGUCCCCAGGUGCCCCCCUCACCUGGGCGAUGUCAUCCUUGUAGAUGCCCCUCUUGAGGUGCACCCAGGUAUCCCCAGGUGUGUCCCCUGUUCCCCCAGGUGUGUUCCUGCUCCCCCAGGUGUCCCCCAGGUGUCCCCAGGUGUGUUUCCAGGUGUGUCCCUGUUCCCCCAGGUGUCCCCAGGUGUCCCCAGGUGUGCCCCCCUCACCUGGGCAAUGUCGUCCUUGUAGAUGCCCCUCUUGAGGUGCACCCAGGUGUGUCCCCAGCUGUGUCCCUGUUCCCCCAGGUAUCCCCAGGUGUGUCCCCAGGUGUGUCCCCAGGUGCCCCCCUCACCUGGGCGAUGUCGUCCUUGUAGAUGCCCCUCUUGAGGCGCACCCAGGCCUUGGGUUUCAGGUUGGUCACCUCCUUGACCACCUUGAGCACGUCGGUCAUCUCCUUGAUGGGCACCAUCUGCUGGUUCCAGUAGCCCAGGCGCAGGUUGCCCACGCCCUCGAUGGCCUGCUUGACGUGCGUCUGCUUGUAGGCCUCGACGUACAGGUACCCGCGCACGUGCUCAGGUGCGACCACCGACUUGAUCUGGAGAGGCUGGGGACACACAGGGACACGGGGGGACACAGGUGUGACACUGGAGUGACACUGGGGACAGGCCAGGAACAGCCCCGGUGUCCCUGUGUACAGCUGUGACCCCAUUGUCCCUGUGCACAGGUGUGUACAGGUGUGUACAGGUGUGCCUCGACGUACAGGUACCCGCGCACGUGCUCAGGUGCCACCACGGAUUUGAUCUGCAGGGGCUGGGGACACAGAGAGGUACCGGUGUGACACAGGUGUGACACAGGUGUGACACAGGGAACAGCCCAGUGCAGCCCCAGUGUCCCUGUGUACAGGUGUGACCCCAUUGUCCCCGUGUACAGGUGUGUACAGGUGUGUACAGAUGUGCACAGGUGUGUACAGGUACCCGCGCACGUGCUCAGGUGCGACCACGGAUUUGAUCUGGAGAGGCUGGGGACACAGAGAGGCACAGGUGUGACACUGGGAACAGUCUAAUGCAGCCCCGGUGUCCCUGCGUACAGCUAUGACCCCAUUGUCCCUGUGCACAGGUGUGUACAGGUGUGCCUCGAUGUACAGGUGCCACCACGGAUUUGAUCUGCAGGGGCUGGGGACACGCAGGAACACAGGUGUGACACAGGUGUGACACAGGUGUGACACAGGUGUGACACAGGUGUGACACAGGGGACAGG